This 213-nucleotide long non-coding RNA is filed under the name Trifolium pratense (red clover). Its description in RNAcentral is "long non-coding RNA (TPRA_LNC008965)". Lineage: Eukaryota; Viridiplantae; Streptophyta; Magnoliopsida; Fabales; Fabaceae. The record is from RNAcentral.
AAUUUUUUAUGUAAUUUUUUUUUUUUUGGAUUUUGUGUUAGAAUAUUUUAUUGCCAUUGUUGUUGAAUGUUGCUCAUGAAAGGGAUUGAUUAAUGUUUUAUGGAAAGAGAACAUUGAAUUAUUAUUGAAUAAUUUUUUGCUUUACUCAAUUGUAUGAAAAAUUAUUAUACUCUCUCCACCCACAAUUAUUAUAAAUAAAAAUUUAUUUUUUAA